This 418-nucleotide ribosomal RNA is filed under the name Phlebia radiata. RNAcentral describes it as "LSU rRNA". It matches the Rfam family "Bacterial large subunit ribosomal RNA", at positions 1722 to 2100 of the family's 2925-position model. Lineage: Eukaryota; Fungi; Basidiomycota; Agaricomycetes; Polyporales; Meruliaceae. The record is from RNAcentral.
UUAUCCUCAUAAGUUUGACGACAAGAGGUAUCCCCUUAAAAUUUAAAAAUAGCACAAACUCAUUUAAGGGUGUGCUAUCAUUUUAAAAAGUAGGUAGGCGGCAUAGAAUCGGAGGCCCCGACUGUUUACUAAAAACACAAUUCAGAGCAAUGAUUAAGAUCAUAGUAUUCUGGAUGAAACUUGCCCGAUGCCAUUAAUAUAAGAGAGGUAAUGGGAUAACUGUUACUAAUCGAAAGUCUGGUUAAUAGCGGUCUUAACUAUGAGGAUCCAAAGGUAGCAAAAUAAAUUGGCCAUUAAAUGUGGUCCGGUAUCAAUAGUAGAACGAUGGUCUCACUGUCUCUACAACUUGCUCAGUGAAAUUGAAUUACCCGUGCAGAUGCGGGUUUCCUUCGGGUGGACGGGAAGACCCUAUGCAGCU